This 217-nucleotide long non-coding RNA is filed under the name Dermacentor andersoni. RNAcentral describes it as "uncharacterized LOC126533949". The record is from RNAcentral. Lineage: Eukaryota; Metazoa; Arthropoda; Arachnida; Ixodida; Ixodidae.
GAUGAUGACUAUGAUGACUAUGAAGACGAGGAACCAAGACGGCGUAGACGUGUGAGGAAGCCAAAAAAAUCGAACGAUGAUAAAGGCACCAACGGUGACAAACCAGCGAGGACAAAUGAUGAGCAAGGCACCAACGGUGGCAAACCAGCGAGGACAAAUGGAAGCCAUGGAAGAAAUAACGAGGAAUUUAGGCCCCCAACCUUGCCGAAGCCGCGAA